CCUACGGGCGGCUGCAGUGGGGAAUAUUGCACAAUGGGCGCAAGCCUGAUGCAGCCAUGCCGCGUGUGUGAAGAAGGCCUUCGGGUUGUAAAGCACUUUCAGCGGGGAGGAAGGCGUUAAGGUUAAUAACCUUGUCGAUUGACGUUACCCGCAGAAGAAGCACCGGCUAACUCCGUGCCAGCAGCCGCGGUAAUACGGAGGGUGCAAGCGUUAAUCGGAAUUACUGGGCGUAAAGCGCACGCAGGCGGUCUGUCAAGUCGGAUGUGAAAUCCCCGGGCUCAACCUGGGAACUGCAUUCGAAACUGGCAGGCUAGAGUCUUGUAGAGGGGGGUAGAAUUCCAGGUGUAGCGGUGAAAUGCGUAGAGAUCUGGAGGAACACCGGUGGCGAAGGCGGCCCCCUGGACAAAGACUGACGCUCAGGUGCGAAAGCGUGGGGAGCAAACAGGAUUAGAUACCCCGGUAGUC
Molecule: ribosomal RNA, 465 nt
Filed under: uncultured Klebsiella sp.
Lineage: Bacteria; Pseudomonadati; Pseudomonadota; Gammaproteobacteria; Enterobacterales; Enterobacteriaceae
Description: bacterial SSU rRNA
Rfam family: Bacterial small subunit ribosomal RNA
Source: RNAcentral